UUUAGAGUUUGAUUCUGGGUUCAGGAGAAACGCUGGCGGCGUCCCUAACACAUGCAAGUCGAGCGAAGUGUUUAGGACGGAUUCCUUCGGGAUGAAGACCUAAACAUCUUAGCGCGGGAUGGGUGAGUAACGCGUGAGAAACCUGCCUUUCACAAGGGAAUAGCCUCGGGAAACUGGGAUUAAUACCCUAUGAUACAACUUUUUCGCAUGAGAGAGUUGUUAAAGCGUAAAGCGGUGAAAGAUGGUCUCGCGUCCCAUUAGUUAGUUGGUGAGGUAAUGGCUCACCAAGACAACGAUGGGUAACCGGCCUGAGAGGGUGAACGGUCACACUGGAACUGAGACACGGUCCAGACUCCUACGGGAGGCAGCAGUGGGGAAUAUUGCACAAUGGAGGAAACUCUGAUGCAGCGACGUCGCGUGAACGAUGAAGGUUUUCGGAUCGUAAAGUUCUGUCCUUGGGGACGAUAAUGACGGUACCCAAGGAGGAAGCCCCGGCUAACUACGUGCCAGCAGCCGCGGUAAUACGUAGGGGGCAAGCGUUGUCCGGAUUUAUUGGGCGUAAAGGGUUCGCAGGUGGCCUUUUAAGUCAGAUGUGAAAGAUCACAGCUCAACUGUGGUAAGCAUUUGAAACUGAAAGGCUUGAGUUAAGGAGAGGAAAGUGGAAUUCCUAGUGUAGCGGUGAAAUGCGUAGAUAUUAGGAGGAAUACCAGUGGCGAAGGCGACUUUCUGGACUUAUACUGACACUGAGGAACGAAAGCAUGGGGAGCAAACAGGAUUAGAUACCCUGGUAGUCCAUGCCGUAAACGAUGAGUGCUAGGUGUCGGGGGUCAAACCUCGGUGCCGGAGCUAACGCAU
RNAcentral lists this ribosomal RNA (855 nucleotides) under uncultured bacterium. RNAcentral describes it as "bacterial SSU rRNA". It matches the Rfam family "Bacterial small subunit ribosomal RNA", at positions 1 to 860 of the family's 1533-position model. The record is from RNAcentral.